This 467-nucleotide ribosomal RNA is filed under the name uncultured bacterium. RNAcentral describes it as "bacterial SSU rRNA". It matches the Rfam family "Bacterial small subunit ribosomal RNA", at positions 340 to 793 of the family's 1533-position model. The record is from RNAcentral.
UACGGGGAGGCAGCAGUGGGGGAAUAUUGCACAAUGGGCGCAAGCCUGAUGCAGCCAUGCCGCGUGUGUGAAGAAGGACCUUCGGGUUGUAAAGCACUUUCAGUCGUGAGGAAGGUAGUGUAGUUAAUAGCUGCAUUAUUUGACGUUAGCGACAGAAGAAAGCACCGGCUAACUCCGUGCCAGCAGCCGCGGUAAUACGGAGGGUGCGAGCGUUAAUCGGAAUUACUGGGCGUAAAGCGCAUGCAGGUGGUUUGUUAAGUCAGAUGUGAAAGCCCGGGGCUCAACCUCGGAAUUGCAUUUGAAACUAGGCAGACUAGAGUAUUGUAGAGGGGGGUAGGAAUUUCAGGUGUAGCGGUGAAAUGCGUAGAGAUCUGAAGGAAUACCGGUGGCGAAGGCGGCCCCCUGGACAGAUACUGACACUCAGAUGCGAAAGCGUGGGGAGCAAACAGGAUUAGAUACCCUGGUAG